GACGAACGCUGGCGGCGUGCUUAACACAUGCAAGUCGAACGGAAAGGCCCUUCUUUUGUGGUGUGCUCGAGUGGCGAACGUGUGAGUAACACGUGAUUAACCUGCCCUUGACUUUGGGCUAACUUCAUGAAACUGGUGCUAAUACCGGAUAGGAGCUCCUGCUGCAUGGUGUGGGUUGGAAAGUUUCGGCGGUUGGGGAUGGACUCGCGGCUUAUCAGCUUGUUGGUGGGGUAGUGGCUUACCAAGGCUUUGACGGGUAGCCGGCCUGAGAGGGUGACCGGCCACAUUGGGACUGAGAUACGGCCCAGACUCCUACGGGAGGCAGCAGUGGGGAAUAUUGCACAAUGGGCGGAAGCCUGAUGCAGCAACGCCGCGUGCGGGAUGACGGCCUUCGGGUUGCAAACCGCUUUCGCCUGUGACGAAGCGUGAGUGACGGUAAUGGGUAAAGAAGCACCGGCUAACUACGUG
RNAcentral lists this ribosomal RNA (468 nucleotides) under uncultured bacterium. RNAcentral describes it as "partial 16S ribosomal RNA". It matches the Rfam family "Bacterial small subunit ribosomal RNA", at positions 28 to 507 of the family's 1533-position model. The record is from RNAcentral.